GAUGAACGCUGGCGGCGUGCCUAACACAUGCAAGUCGAGCGAUGAAGUUUUCUUCGGAAAACGGAUUAGCGGCGGACGGGUGAGUAACACGUGGGCAACCUGCCUUAUAGAGGGGAAUAGCCUUCCGAAAGGAAGAUUAAUACCGCAUAACAUUAUCGGAUGGCAUCAUCUGAUAAUCAAAGGAGCAAUCCGCUAUAAGAUGGGCCCGCGUCGCAUUAGUUAGUUGGUGGGGUAAUGGCCUACCAAGACGACGAUGCGUAGCCGACCUGAGAGGGUGAUCGGCCACAUUGGGACUGAGACACGGCCCAGACUCCUACGGGAGGCAGCAGUGGGGAAUAUUGCACAAUGGGGGAAACCCUGAUGCAGCAACGCCGCGUGAGCGAUGAAGGUCUUCGGAUCGUAAAGCUCUGUCUUUAGGGAUGAUAAUGACAGUACCUAAGGAGGAAGGCCACGGCUAGCUACGUGCCAGCAGCCG
RNAcentral lists this ribosomal RNA (475 nucleotides) under uncultured Bacillota bacterium. Its description in RNAcentral is "bacterial SSU rRNA". It matches the Rfam family "Bacterial small subunit ribosomal RNA", at positions 28 to 517 of the family's 1533-position model. Lineage: Bacteria; Bacillati; Bacillota. The record is from RNAcentral.